This 399-nucleotide ribosomal RNA is filed under the name Pristimantis fenestratus (Rio Mamore robber frog). Its description in RNAcentral is "partial large subunit ribosomal RNA". It matches the Rfam family "Archaeal large subunit ribosomal RNA", at positions 1927 to 2490 of the family's 2987-position model. Lineage: Eukaryota; Metazoa; Chordata; Amphibia; Anura; Strabomantidae. The record is from RNAcentral.
CCCCCCCCCCAUAAGAGGUCCAGCCUGCCCAGUGACCCAGUUCAACGGCCGCGGUAGCCUAACCGUGCGAAGGUAGCGUAAUCACUUGUCUUCUAAAUAAAGACUAGUAUGAAAGGCAUCACGAGAAUUCAACUGUCUCCUUUUUUCAAUCAGUGAACCUAAUCUCCCUGUGAAAAAGCAGGAAUUUACAAAUUAGACGAGAAGACCCUAUGAAGCUUUAAACACUAGUCAACUGCUAGCAUUACUAUACCCCGGCCCCAAAUUUAUGCACCAUGAUCACAUGUUUUUGGUUGGGGUGACCGCGGAGAAUAACCUAACCUCCACAAUGAAAACCCUCAAGCCACAACUUUAAGUAUCAACAAAUUGACAUCCAUUGACCCAAUAUAUUGAUUAAUGAAC